AUCAAGUUUGAGUCCUAAACAGGACGAAACGCGCGUCCUGGAU
RNAcentral lists this non-coding RNA (43 nucleotides) under Schistosoma margrebowiei. Lineage: Eukaryota; Metazoa; Platyhelminthes; Trematoda; Strigeidida; Schistosomatidae. The record is from RNAcentral.